UCCCUUGUAGUUCAGCUGGUAAAGAAUCUGCCUGCAAUGCAGGAGACCCUGGUUUGAUUCCUGGGUGGGGAA
This 72-nucleotide transfer RNA is filed under the name Bos taurus (domestic cattle). It matches the Rfam family "tRNA". From Rfam's summary of the family: Transfer RNA (tRNA) molecules are approximately 80 nucleotides in length. The record is from Rfam by way of RNAcentral. Lineage: Eukaryota; Metazoa; Chordata; Mammalia; Artiodactyla; Bovidae. RNAcentral also lists the same sequence under 5 other names.